Molecule: long non-coding RNA, 296 nt
Filed under: Lupinus angustifolius (narrow-leaved blue lupine)
Lineage: Eukaryota; Viridiplantae; Streptophyta; Magnoliopsida; Fabales; Fabaceae
Description: long non-coding RNA (LANG_LNC000132)
Source: RNAcentral
GUUUUUCACUACGUCUCUAUCCUGUGACACAUUGAGCCAUGGUAACAGUCAACUCUCACAAUAUUCUUAUUUAUCUGAUGAUGAUCGAUUUAUGUAUAAAGCAGAGGUGAAGAGUAUUACUGAAAUUUCUGCCCUUACAUCAACUGAGGUAUAUUGUAGAUUUACUCUCUCCAUUCAUUAUUACAGGAUGGUACUAAGGUAUAUUUUCCCUGUUUUUUUUACAGGAAAUAACAUGUGUAACUGUUGGGACAACAACAAUGUUUGUUAUUGGCAAGCAAGGAUGGUACUAUGAUCGG